GAUGAACGCUAGCGGCAGGCCUAAUACAUGCAAGUCGAACGGGAUCCAGAUCAAAGCUUGCUUUGGUUUGGUGAGAGUGGCGCACGGGUGCGUAACGCGUGAGCAACCUACCCUUGUCAGGGGGAUAGCCCGGCGAAAGUCGGAUUAAUACCGCAUGACAUCUUUGAGAGGCAUCUUUCGAUGAUCAAAGAUUUAUCGGACAAGGAUGGGCUCGCGUGACAUUAGCUAGUUGGUAAGGUAACGGCUUACCAAGGCUACGAUGUCUAGGGGCUCUGAGAGGAGAAUCCCCCACACUGGUACUGAGACACGGACCAGACUCCUACGGGAGGCAGCAGCAAGGAAUAUUGGUCAAUGGACGGAAGUCUGAACCAGCCAUGCCGCGUGCAGGAAGACGGCCAUAUGGGUUGUAAACUGCUUUUAUACGGGAACAAACGUCGGUACGUGUACCGGUCUGAGUGUACCGUAAGAAUAAGGAUCGGCUAACUCCGUG
Molecule: ribosomal RNA, 490 nt
Filed under: uncultured bacterium
Lineage: Bacteria
Description: partial 16S ribosomal RNA
Rfam family: Bacterial small subunit ribosomal RNA
Source: RNAcentral